RNAcentral lists this transfer RNA (73 nucleotides) under Bos taurus (domestic cattle). It matches the Rfam family "tRNA". From Rfam's summary of the family: Transfer RNA (tRNA) molecules are approximately 80 nucleotides in length. RNAcentral also lists the same sequence under 5 other names. The record is from Rfam by way of RNAcentral. Lineage: Eukaryota; Metazoa; Chordata; Mammalia; Artiodactyla; Bovidae.
UCCCUGGUGGUUCAGUGGCUAAGACUCUACGCUCCCAAGGUAGGGAGACUGGGUUCAAACCCUGGUCGAGGAA